This 450-nucleotide ribosomal RNA is filed under the name uncultured bacterium. RNAcentral describes it as "partial 16S ribosomal RNA". It matches the Rfam family "Bacterial small subunit ribosomal RNA", at positions 354 to 796 of the family's 1533-position model. The record is from RNAcentral.
GUGGGGAAUCUUCCGCAAUGGACGAAAGUCUGACGGAGCAACGCCGCGUGAGUGAUGAAGGUCUUCGGAUUGUAAAGCUCUGUUAAUCGGGACGAAAGAGCCUAGUGUGAAUAAUGCUAGGAAGUGACGGUACCGGAAUAGAAAGCCACGGCUAACUACGUGCCAGCAGCCGCGGUAAUACGUAGGUGGCAAGCGUUGUCCGGAAGUAUUGGGCGUAAAGCGCGCGCAGGCGGAUCUGCCAGUCUGUCUUAAAAGUUCGGGGCUUAACCCCGGGAUGGGAUGGAAACUACAGAUCUAGAGUAUCGGAGAGGAAAGUGGAAUUCCUAGUGUAGCGGUGAAAUGCGUAGAUAUUAGGAAGAACACCAGUGGCGAAGGCGACUUUCUGGACGAAAACUGACGCUGAGGCGCGAAAGCCAGGGGAGCGAACGGGAUUAGAUACCCGUGUAGUCC